Molecule: ribosomal RNA, 426 nt
Filed under: uncultured bacterium
Lineage: Bacteria
Description: partial 16S ribosomal RNA
Rfam family: Bacterial small subunit ribosomal RNA
Source: RNAcentral
GUGAGGAAUUUUCCGCAAUGGGCGAAAGCCUGACGGAGCAAUGCCGCGUGAUGGAUGAAGGCCUAUGGGUUGUAAACUUCUUUUCUCAGAAAAGAAUUAUGACGGUAUCUGAGGAAUAAGCAUCGGCUAACUCUGUGCCAGCAGCCGCGGUAAGACAGUGGAUGCAAGCGUUAUCCGGAAUGAUUGGGCGUAAAGCGUCUGUAGGUUGUUUAAAAAGUAUUCUGUCAAAGAUUAGGGCUUAACCCUAGAUAGGCAGAAUAAACUUUUAAGCUAGAGUUUGGUAGAGGCAGAGGGAAUUCCCGGUGGAGCGGUGAAAUGCGUAGAUAUCGGGAGGAACACCAAAGGCGAAGGCACUCUGCUGGGCCAAUACUAACACUGAGAGACGAAAGCGAGGGGAGCAAAUGGGAUUAGAAACCCGGGUAGUCC